GACGAACGCUGGCGGCGUGCUUAACACAUGCAAGUCGAGCGGUAAGGCCCUUUCGGGGGUACGACGAGCGGCGAACGGGUGAGUAACACGUGGGUGACCUGCCCUUACGCUCUGGGAUAAGCCUGGGAAACUGGGUCUAAUACCGGAUAUGACUCCAUAACGCAUGUUGUGGGGUGGAAAGCCUUGUGCGGCUAGGGAGUGGGCCCGGCGGCCUAUCAGCUUGUUGGUGGGGUGAUGGCCACCAAGGCGACGA
This 253-nucleotide ribosomal RNA is filed under the name uncultured bacterium. RNAcentral's name for it is "partial 16S ribosomal RNA". It matches the Rfam family "Bacterial small subunit ribosomal RNA", at positions 28 to 279 of the family's 1533-position model. The record is from RNAcentral.